AACGAACGCUGGCGGCGUGCCUAAGACAUGCAAGUCGUGCGGAAAGGCUCCUUCGGGAGUACUCGAGCGGCGCACGGGUGAGUAACACGUGGGUAAUCUACCUGAGGGUCUGGGAUAACCCCGGGAAACUGGGGCUAAUACCGGGUGAGACCACGGCGCCUUCGGGCGCAGCGGUCAAAGAUGGCCUCUCCAUGGAAGCUAUCGCCCACAGAUGAGCCCGCGUCCCAUUAGCAGUUGGAGGGUAACGGCCACCAAGGCUACGAUGGGUAGCUGGUCUGAGAGGAUGAUCAGCCACACUGGAACUGAGACACGGUCCAGACUCCUACGGGAGGCAGCAGUCGGGAAUUUUGGGCAAUGGGCGAAAGCCUGACCCAGCAACGCCGCGUGA
RNAcentral lists this ribosomal RNA (388 nucleotides) under uncultured bacterium. RNAcentral describes it as "bacterial SSU rRNA". It matches the Rfam family "Bacterial small subunit ribosomal RNA", at positions 29 to 404 of the family's 1533-position model. The record is from RNAcentral.